Molecule: ribosomal RNA, 465 nt
Filed under: uncultured bacterium
Lineage: Bacteria
Description: partial 16S ribosomal RNA
Rfam family: Bacterial small subunit ribosomal RNA
Source: RNAcentral
GACGAACGCUGGCGGCGUGCUUAACACAUGCAAGUCGUACGGUAAGGCCCUUUCGGGGGUACACGAGUGGCGAACGGGUGAGUAACACGUGAGUAACCUGCCCACAACUUUGGGAUAACGCUAGGAAACUGGUGCUAAUACUGGAUAUGUGCCCCUGCUGCAUGGUGGGGGUUGGAAAGCUCCGGCGGUUGUGGAUGGACUCGCGGCCUAUCAGCUUGUUGGUGGGGUAGUGGCCUACCAAGGCGGCGACGGGUAGCCGGCCUGAGAGGGUGACCGGCCACAUUGGGACUGAGAUACGGCCCAGACUCCUACGGGAGGCAGCAGUGGGGAAUAUUGCACAAUGGGCGCAAGCCUGAUGCAGCAACGCCGCGUGCGGGAUGACGGCCUUCGGGUUGUAAACCGCUUUCAGUAGGGACGAAGCUUUUUGUGACGGUACCUGCAGAAGAAGCACCGGCUAACUACGUG